RNAcentral lists this long non-coding RNA (447 nucleotides) under Homo sapiens (human). Its description in RNAcentral is "HSALNT0404393". Lineage: Eukaryota; Metazoa; Chordata; Mammalia; Primates; Hominidae. The record is from RNAcentral.
ACUGUCACAUGGGGUGCAGGCCCAGCGUGGCCAGAUUUUCUACUUUUCAAGUGAAGACAGGAAGCCCUGUUUAUCUACGGCGUUUCUGAAUUUCGAAAUGGAGUUCAGGAUCAAAACCCAGUGUCUUUACAUCAGAGUCGAGUCAAUGCAAACAUGGACGGGUUUGAUUUUCAUACUACAUCGCCUGGAAAACUUAGCUAUUAAAAGAGUUCUCGUAUAGCCGGGUGCAGUGGACUGAGUAUCGAAUGGCUCCUUCUUCUUCCCUGGAACUGAAAUCAUUGUACAUUAUCAAGCCACCUGGAAACACACAGAUGAAACAAUUCCGACCAUUGUGUCAGCACACAGGCGUACAGGCUACCGCAUCCCGCCUUGUUGUGUCAACAAGCGAGAGCUGUGUCUGCUCCCUGGUGCUGUGGCUGUCAGUGCUGGAGAGCACGGCCUGGACAG